UAACUAUUUACAUUUUCAGCUUUUCCUUUUAAACAAAUUUAAAAUGAAACAACACAAAACACUGCAAACCUCAGCCUACGGCCCGCAUGCCAAAGAGAACUGAUUGUCAUAUUUUUCUGUUUUUACAGUUUUCUGUAAAAAUAAAUAUGUUGCACCAGAGAUGAGUUGGCCCAUCAUUUCAGUGGUGUAACAUUUCUUUCAUCAGAAAGACACUGGAUUGAAAUGCUAGCUUUCUACAGUCGCUGCUUAUCAACGGGCACUGUAUUUGUAACUUCUAAAAACUUCUAAAACGGCAAACAGGACUUUGGUUAAGAAGAGGACAACCAACAUUCUACCAGUUCUAUCGACCGGAGUGUUUCGGGCUGCGCUCCCUAACCGGGAGAUAACUAGCAAGUUUACGGUAGCAUUAGCUACCAGCAGCUGCUAGCUUGCCAGUUAAAUAAAAGAAGAAAGGACCCCUGGACUGGAAAGGCUGGUUAAGACAAAUAUUUUAUUGGAGUUCCACGAAUAACACAAACUAAAAACAGUAUGCCACCCAAGAAAGGUCCAACACCAGAGGAGGUCGAGGACAUAAAAACCUCCCUCGGAGCGCUGUGCGGAGACGUGGCCGCAGUCAGGGCGCAGCAGGAGCUGCUUCUGGGGCUUCUGGAGGAGGUAAAACAGCUACGCCUCCAAAAUGCCGAGAAGGACAGACGAAUCAUGGAUCUCGAGCGGCGGGUGGAUGAGCUGGAGCAGUACACCCGUACGAACGACGUGGUCAUCAGCGGUGUUAAAAUCAAGUGGCCGGGAACGUCGGGGAGCCCAGCGACGAGGAGACCCGCUCGGUGGAGCAACAGGUGGCGUCCUUCCUUCAAAGCAAGGGGAUAGAGAUGGACCUGGAGCACGAAGAAGCAUGUCACCCACUGCCCAGGAGGAGCGACAGACCGCCGGCCGUCAUUAUGAGAUUCGUCAAUCGGAAGAACAAGGUCGCACUGCUGAAACAAGGACGCAAACUGAAAGGCACGAACGUUUUCAUUAAUGAGCAUCUGACACGAAAAAACGCAGACAUCGCGAGGAAGGCAAGGCAACUGAAGAAGAACGGUAAAAUACAACAUACAUGGGUAACAAACUGCAAGAUUUUCAUUAAGCUAAACGGGACACCAGAAGAGGCAAAAGUACUGAUAGUGAGGAACAUGGAGGAUCUGGACAAGUACAACUGACACUAAUGUAUCGAGGUAAUGUAUAACUCUAAUGACAAUCAAAGAUGAUAAAUACACCAACAUCUCUAAUUACACCAGGAAAUGACAUGGACACGUUGAAAUCAAUUCUCCAACAGAAAGUUAUUGAUCUAGAUUGUGACUAUAAGGAACAUAAUAUAAUAGACCCAGAAAUAGAUUCUGAAAGUAAUUUUCUCUCUUCUUUUGUUAAAAAUUGUAAUUAUUUCACACAGGAACAAUAUGAAAAAAAAAUCAACCUAGACGGGAAGCUCUCAUUAAUUCACUUUAACAGCAGAAGUAUGUACUCUAAUUUUGAUUUCAUUAAGGAUUACUUGCAACAAUUUUCUCGCCCCUUUAGUGUUAUAGCCAUCACUGAAACUUGGUUCAAUGUCGAUAAAGGAAUAGAUUUCUGUUUGAAUGGAUAUGAUUUAAAAUACAUGAAUAGAUUAAAUAAGGCGGGUGGCGGGGUUGCUAUAUAUGUUCAUAACUCUAUAAAAUAUAAUGUUGUAACAACUAUGUCUAUGGCUAUUGAUGGAAUUUUGGAAUGUUUGACCAUUGAGAUCAUGAAUGAAAAAAAGAGAAAUGUUAUAAUAAGUUGCAUAUAUCGGACACCCAGUUCAAGUAUCGACACUUUUAAUGAAUGGAUAGAAAAAAUGUUUGCUUCGGUGAACCAAAAAUUACUAUUCAUCUGUGGUGAUUUUAAUAUUGAUUUGCUAAACCCAACAAGGUUAAAUGCCAUUGAUGACUUUACUGACACGAUGUACAGCUUAUCACUAUAUCCAACAAUAACAAAGCCAAGCAGAAUAACAUCACAUAGCGCCACUAUUAUUGACAAUAUUUUUACUAAUGUCAUGGAUUUCCAAAUUAAUAGUGGCCUGCUUGUCUGUGAUAUAACUGACCACUUACCAGUUUUUACUUUGUGUGACUGUGAUUUAAAAAAAAUAGAUACCAAGAUUACGAUAGCAAAGCGAACAAUAAAUGAAGAAGCAAUUCAUGCCUUCAAUUUCGAUUUAGGACAACAAGAUUGGAGUUCGGUGUAUGAAGAGUCAGAUGUGGACAAGGCUUAUGACAAUUUCCUAGAUAUUUUCACUAUGUUGUACAAUAAACAUUGUCCUGUAAACGAACACAGGACAAAGAAAAAAUAGAUAAAAAGUCCUUGGCUCACAAAAGGAAUCAUCAAUGCUUGCAAAAAGAAAAACAAUCUGUAUAAACAGUUCAUCAAAGUCUGCGUUCAGCAACGUUAGCCCCUCUGGCUUUACCCCACCUAGGAAGCGUUUUGCCUCCACAGACUUGAGGAAGAGUCCACAGGAAGGCUUUUUCCAGGACGGCAGUGUAACGAGCCAGCUGCCAGCACAGACGGCUGCUGACGAUGAAGAAUGGGUGUGAGAGCAGCGCAGUCACACAGCAAUGAUCCCAGUUGUUUUAUCAAUUGUCAAGCUUGUUAGCUUUUUAAGAGUUUUUGUUGGAAGAAUAGUCUGUUUGUUUUUGGGUUGGGAGUUGUUUGUUUUUUGUUUGUUUUUUUUACUUUUUUUAGUAUGCCAUUGUUGUGUAAGGCAUCAUAGCAAAAAUAUCAAAUUGCUGUAUUAAUUGUUAAUAAAUGAAUAAAUGUUUAAAGCAACACCUUCAUUUAUUACAUGGGUUUAAUGUGAGCAGGUCUUCCUGGAAUGAUUCAAACACACCUGGAAUACCCAGCUGCUGCCUGGAAAUGGAUUAAAUUCAUUCAUUCACAUUCAGGCCAUUUCCAGACAGGUGCUGAGUCCCAGUGUGCAGCUUCCAGUCCCAGAGAUCAUUGACGUGGAUCAGGAGGACCCAGCACCUCACAAGGGGCGUUUCCAUGGAGGUAGCCUGGGCUCAAGUCCUUUCCUAUCCACAGUAUUCCUGACUUCGUGCAAUUAGACCUGAUUCAAAGUAGAAGAUGACUUUUUUUGUUUUUCUGCUUACACUGUUGAUUCUUGUGGGGUCACACCUUCAGUGUUCAUAAAAGUUUCUCUCACUGCAGUUUCUUUUACUUGGCUUAAAUAGCAACACGUUGUAAUAAGUGGCAAGGACAAUUCAUUAGCAGUGCCUCACCCAUCACUUCCCACAGACUGAUGAUAUAAAACUAUGGCCCAAUGUUUGCUAGGACAACAUCUUCACAGAACAGUAAGCAGUCCAGCAGUCAAACCAAGGCUAUCCACAUCAAUGGGGAAAAAGAGCUCGAAGAAAGGGCCCAAGCUAAACAUGUAAUUGCCGACUAAUGUUUUUACACAGGGUUACAGGCUGGAGUAUGGCUGCUCCAAGUGGGAAACCCUGGAGAUUGUUUUAGAGAGACGGUGCAACAUUCCUGUACAUGUCUCAUUGGGGAGUUGACACAUGGUGAAAGCCAUGUGGCAAGAGGAGUGUUAUUUUUAAUCUGUAGAUGUCGUGAGGUGCCAUGACGAGAAGCAGUGACUGAGAGGAUCGUCCACAAGAUGGGAGCUGAGGCCAGGAGAGAGUCUUCAGGAGGAUCAGAGAUCACCUUCAGCACAGCAGACAUCGCGCAGGAGAUCAUCAUGAGGAGACUCUGCACAGCAAAAUCUUAAAUAAAAUGAAAGAGUGUCGACGUUGACGUUGAGGAAGACAACUAAGGUGUACGACGUGCUCUGCCUUAAAAUCUUCAGCAGCGUUGGAACGUGAGAGCCUGAAGGAUGAAGGGAGCAUGCCAAACUCCAAAAGUGACGACGUAGAGGAAGUCCAGCGAUGGACUUGUGAUUCUGUGUGAAGUACAAAUACUAGGAGACUGGGAAAUAGUUGACACCACUUUUCCCAAGGAUGAAGAUCACCUAAAGUGUGUCACUUUGCCAUGCAGAUUUGAUGCUCUGCAGAGAAGCCUUUUGUGAGGGAGAGAUGUAAACGGACGAGCCUUUCAUCUACAUUUAUAUCAUGUCAACUUCUCUAGGCUGGUUGAGGGGAAAUUGGAGAGAAACGGUAGUGUUAGGUGUGAUAACUGUUGCUAUUGUAACUGUGAUUUUUCUUCUAAGUGAAUUGCCCAGAGACAGACCCGAAUCCACUCUGGCGACUCCACCAUCACAGGCCACAGCGAAGCGAACCAAACGUAGGGAAACAGGUAGAUCAGAUGAGUGUUUUGAUUAUCAUGGCGGUAUAGAGUUGGACCACGUUAAAGGGUCCACAGCUUCGUAUACAUUUGAUCUUUGUGCUGUCAUUAAAUGUAAAGGUUUAAACAGUUCAUGGCGGGGAUAUGAUGUCUGGGUAGGUUACAAUCCAAUGGUAGAUAUAGAGUGUAAUAAUCAGAAGCUUGGCUACCCCUAUCACACUUAUUGGAAGGGCCCGUGUGAGUACUGGUCUACCAUAGUGGAGUAUUCUGGCACGUGGUGCCCCUACAAGGACACCACGCGGCAGAAGCUUGGGUUUCAGCGGGACUUCUCAGCUGGGCAGAACCCGUUGACCCUCUCACUGAAUCGUUGGCAUGACACUGUGUGGCCUGCUCGAUCCGUGGUGUACUUAUUCAUAGGGGUAGACGUCUCAGGGAAGGACCCAUACGGUCUGGUUAAAAUUAAUUUUAGAGAUUUUGCACCUGAUGUGGCUGAAAUAAUUGUAUUAACACCUCCCCCACCAUUGUCACUUUCAGAAUCGGGCCCACAAAUACUUGAGGUAGAUUAUACAAGACUCAAACCUAAACAGUUCAUUUCAAUGGCCACUGGCUACCGUGAAAGCAAUCUGUGGCCAGACUGGCUCAUUCAAAAUGCUAGAGAACAAAAUGUUUCAGAUUGUGUGGUGUGCGCAGCGGCCCGCCCACAUCUUUUCACAGAACCAGCUCCUCUAUAUCCCGAAGACCAGUGGGGAUUUGAGUGCAUCCUCAGACUCACCAGAGAAGCGGUUUCUGAAGACAUGAGCAUGAGGCCGGGGAGAUUAACGCCAAUUGGUGCACUGUGACGUACCUGGCCAGAGGAAAGCUAUCAAGAGACACCGGCACUGAAAUAGGCCUGUGGGCACGUGCUGGUUCGUACUGUUAUUGUGGUGGGUACAUAUUAUGUUAGAAUUCUUAGUGGGACUUCUGGUCUCUGUGCCAUGGUGUGUUUAGGUGCACCUCUCGUUUUAGUAGGAGAAAAGGGGGUGCAGCUGGCUAAGCCCGGCACCGCUCAACUGACAGCCACGCGCAGACGUCAUGUGUUGGCCAAACGGUCACCAGGAUCGUUUGACCUUACGAUAGGAUCACCAACAUACAUAGAUGCUAUUGGGGUUCCUAGGGGUGUGCCUAAAUGAAUUUAAGUUCGCUGACCAAAUUGAUGGAGGAUUUGAAAAGCUUCCCAUAAUUUCUGCAUUCUUUCCAGUAACUCCAAAUAAGAAUGUGGAUUGUAUCAAUUAUGUGCACUAUAAUGUCCUGAGACUGGCGAACUUUACCAGGGACGAAGUGAAGGGCCUGCUGAAUAGUUGGGUCCAACAUCUUUAAUGACAGUACAAAUCGGAUGGCGUUAGAUAUAUUGUCGGGAGAAAAAGGGGGCAUUUGCGCGAUGUUUGGGGAUAUAUAUUGUACUUUUAUUUUAAAUAACACAGCUCCAGGCAGCUCUGUGACCCGAACUCUGGAAGGCCUAAAGACGUUGUCCACCACGAUGUAUGAGCAUUCAGGAGUGGAUAACCUGCUGGAAGCGUGGAUGAUUUCUGUCUUUGGGCAAUGGAAAGGUUUCAUUAUGUCAAUUAUGGGUUUUUUUGUCUGUUUUUACUGCAAUAUUAGCAACGUGUGGGUUGGCAGUCCCAUUUAGUGAAAGGCAAUGGAAAAAUAGCUGGGUUUCCAUGUGUAAUUUGUGUGGAAGAAUAUUGCAGAAGAAAGUUAAUAGGUAAUUUAGAGAGCCCGCCCCGCCCCGGCCCGCCCCGCCCCCCAAAAAACAAGUGUUGAAGAACAAAAGAUAAAUGUCCUUUUUUUUCCUGCUUUCCGUGCCGGCCGUUUGGCGUAAGACAUGUGACGGAGCGCUCCGGAGCAGAGCGCCCCGAGUUCGACUCCCUCACGGACUUGCUGCCACGGCCCGGAGUUGGGGGACGGGGAGGCGCCAAGUUGCGUCUCCCUUUUCCUUUUCCCUGCUCUCGCCAACUCCUCCGCCUGCUCUACAUCUCUCUUAUUACCCUGUAUUCACCCAAAAUACCCAUGCUUG
This is an RNA transcript of Oreochromis niloticus (Nile tilapia), 6322 nucleotides long. RefSeq lists it as uncharacterized. The record is from RefSeq and is a predicted model, not a curated record. Lineage: Eukaryota; Metazoa; Chordata; Actinopteri; Cichliformes; Cichlidae. The transcript has 2 exons.